Molecule: ribosomal RNA, 434 nt
Filed under: uncultured bacterium
Lineage: Bacteria
Description: bacterial SSU rRNA
Rfam family: Bacterial small subunit ribosomal RNA
Source: RNAcentral
UGAGGAAUAUUGGUCAAUGGACGAGAGUCUGAACCAGCCAAGUAGCGUGAAGGAUGACUGCCCUAUGGGUUGUAAACUUCUUUUAUACGGGAAUAAAGUGGAGUAUGCAUACUCCUUUGUAUGUACCGUAUGAAUAAGGAUCGGCUAACUCCGUGCCAGCAGCCGCGGUAAUACGGAGGAUCCGAGCGUUAUCCGGAUUUAUUGGGUUUAAAGGGAGCGUAGGCGGGUGCUUAAGUCAGUUGUGAAAGUUUGCGGCUCAACCGUAAAAUUGCAGUUGAUACUGGGCGCCUUGAGUGCAGCAUAGGUAGGCGGAAUUCGUGGUGUAGCGGUGAAAUGCUUAGAUAUCACGAAGAACUCCGAUUGCGAAGGCAGCUUACUGGACUGUAACUGACGCUGAUGCUCGAAAGUGUGGGUAUCAAACAGGAUUAGAUACC